GGUGGAAUGGGCGAGUGGCUAGUCAGCGGCCUGCAAAGCCGUGUACACGGGUUCGAAUCCCGUUUCCACCU
Molecule: transfer RNA, 71 nt
Filed under: Candidatus Nutricula glyptotermitis
Lineage: Bacteria; Bacillati; Actinomycetota; Actinomycetes; Bifidobacteriales; Bifidobacteriaceae
Description: tRNA-Cys
Rfam family: tRNA
About the family: Transfer RNA (tRNA) molecules are approximately 80 nucleotides in length.
Source: RNAcentral